RNAcentral lists this transfer RNA (73 nucleotides) under Blastocladiella sp. RNAcentral's name for it is "tRNA-Arg". It matches the Rfam family "tRNA". Rfam says of the family: Transfer RNA (tRNA) molecules are approximately 80 nucleotides in length. Their secondary structure includes four short double-helical elements and three loops (D, anti-codon, and T loops). Lineage: Eukaryota; Fungi; Blastocladiomycota; Blastocladiomycetes; Blastocladiales; Blastocladiaceae. The record is from RNAcentral.
GCCCGUUUAGCUUAAUGGACAAAGCAUUAGAUUUCUAAUCUGAGUAAUAUAGGUUCGAUUCCUAUAAUGGGUA